Molecule: long non-coding RNA, 240 nt
Filed under: Zostera marina
Lineage: Eukaryota; Viridiplantae; Streptophyta; Magnoliopsida; Alismatales; Zosteraceae
Description: long non-coding RNA (ZMAR_LNC000216)
Source: RNAcentral
UCCUCUGCCCUCCUAUCUUUCACUCUUCGAAUCAUUGACGGUAUUUGUGGUGAGACGAUUUUUGCAGUCGGACUGAAAUCAAUAUGAUGUGCAACAUUUUCCAGAUCUUCAGAUGCAUAUUUUUUCCUUAUGGUCAUGUUCUCUUCAAUUCGAUCUACAGUGGCCGCAGCUAAUGCCCAGUACUCUAGGGAUGUUAUUUGGGUACUAGGUUGUUUUACCUUCAUUCUUCUUACAGUCUCG